Non-coding RNA from Camellia sinensis, 730 nucleotides. Lineage: Eukaryota; Viridiplantae; Streptophyta; Magnoliopsida; Ericales; Theaceae. The record is from RefSeq and is a predicted model, not a curated record.
CUUUUAAGACCCACGCGUUUUUCAUUCUUCUAUUCUAUUUCACGCAGCAAUUGAUAGAUCUAGGUUUUCUAUCUCUUCAUCACUCCUCUUUCUUAUGUUGAAAGGUCACUAGAUCGAGCUUCGUAGGCUCCGAUUCAUGAUCUGGUUCUCUCCAUCUUGGCUCAAAGCUCUCGAUUAGUCCGAUUUGAAGAUUAAUUUUAGUCACAGAACCACCAUCACAACUAUACUGUGUCAAUCUUUGCAGCGAUGUCAAUCUUUGCGUUUGUGCUUGAACAGGUUUGGCUAGAACAGAACUGUGUUGCGUAUAGUCACAAUUGAGGCAAGGUUUUGGAGGCAGUUUCAAUUCAAGACUGCUAUGUAGUUCCAAAUCCCCCCCUCCUUUAGUUUCUUGGAGGAAAUCAUCCUUGGGAGUGGUCAAAACUUUGUAUUAGAGGUAUUUAUUUUAAUCGUGUUAGAACUUUGUAUGACUUAUUGCAUGAAUGUUUUCAAUACACGCGAGUAUGAUAUGUCAAAUAAAUUAUAAGGAUGGGUUUUCUUUUGCUGAAGUGAUCAAGAAUAUAUAUAUUUUUCAUUAUUUGUGCAUAAAGCAAAUCCAAUUAUGGUCUUCUCCUAAGCUGAGUUAUCAAAAGCUGCAUGUUUACCAAAUUCUGUUAUUGGCUAAUGAUAUUUUUCUUGCAGUGCUAGUUAACAAUAUUUUUACUUGAACUAGCCACUUGUUCUGUGCUCCUAU